Molecule: ribosomal RNA, 461 nt
Filed under: uncultured bacterium
Lineage: Bacteria
Description: partial 16S ribosomal RNA
Rfam family: Bacterial small subunit ribosomal RNA
Source: RNAcentral
CCUACGGGAGGCAGCAGUGAGGAAUAUUGGUCAAUGGGCUUACGCCUGAACCAGCCAAGUCGCGUGAGGGAAGACUGCCCUAUGGGUUGUAAACCUCUUUUGUCAGGGAGCAACGCCGGCUACGUGUAGCCGGACUGAGAGUACCUGAAGAAAAAGCAUCGGCUAACUCCGUGCCAGCAGCCGCGGUAAUACGGAGGAUGCGAGCGUUAUCCGGAUUUAUUGGGUUUAAAGGGUGCGUAGGUGGUUAAUUAAGUCAGCGGUGAAAGUUUGUGGCUCAACCAUAAAAUUGCCGUUGAAACUGGUUGACUUGAGUAUAUUUGAGGUAGGCGGAAUGCGUGGUGUAGCGGUGAAAUGCAUAGAUAUCACGCAGAACUCCGAUUGCGAAGGCAGCUUACUAAACUAUAACUGACACUGAAGCACGAAAGCGUGGGGAUCAAACAGGAUUAGAUACCCGGGUAGUC